CAUAUAAAGAAAAGGUUCUUCCAACCCCAGACGAUCAGCCACACACCCAGGUCCAAUUAGAACUUAGAUCUGACCCAAAAUACCCGCUACAGCUAGUUCUUAUUAAGCUAAAAUUAUUAUAAAAGAAAAGAGAGAGAGUUGGUUAAAAGAUCACUAUACAGACAGACGUGAAUUCAAUUCCUGAGGUUCAGAUACUUAGUAGAGAUGAGCUUGUAGAUGCCAAAAGUCCUUUUAGAAAUAGUCCAGAGGUUACAGUCCAAUUUCCAUAUUCAGGGUGACUCCAGUCAGUGACUGGGGAUCUCAAUCCUUAUGGCUCAGGGUUUCAGAUGUUAAGUUCACUGACAGACCACAAGUCAUAUCCCAAGUGUCUAGAGAUGAGAGUUUACCUGCAAACCCCUGCAUUCUCCAGAGAUUAACUGCCCAGCUGUCCUGCUCUGCAGACUCAGCUGCCCCGUCUUCCCUCUGAACCUGCAGCACAGACUCUUCACUUACAGAAUCAGCAUGGAGACAUUCCUCUCUCAACAGCCUUGUCUCCUCAACAAGCUGGCCAAACCCAGCCACUUGGUUAUGGGGCUGCUCAACUUUCUUAAAGCUUUUACUCUGUCUGAGACCUUCUCAAAGCUACCCUCACUGGAUCUUUCACAAGGAAAGUCAGUGGCUCCAUUCACCACAGAAAAUUUCUGGCUGAUAGGAACUGAAACUUCCGGGGUAAGAGCAGUCGGGUUUAUGAGCUGUCUGGGACACGGCAUAGAACGGCUUGCUUGGCAAAGAGAACCCAAAGUUACAGCAGGGUCCCGCUUGCUCAGCCCAGCGCCCUCUGACCCCUCUUUUUCCCCCGUUCAGGAGAGUCUGCAUCUUCCAGCAGCCCACACUUAACAACCCUGCCUGGCCCCUCCUCAGUCCUUUGUCCCCCAGCUCACAGCGUCAGGCUUCCUGCAGCUGCCUCCCUCUGGGCAAAAUCGAACUCUAACAUGGGACAUUAAGAGACCAGGCACAGAGCCAGGCCAAACUGUAACUCGGUUCUUACCCAGUAAGCACACCGCUCCCAGACCUUUAGUAGCUAAUAUCUAAAGGUUUACUCAUAGAGAGAAGACGACAAGCCUUAAACAUGGUUAAUAGCUCAUAUGCCUAUAAUAAUGGCGAUGUUCUUGGAUCAGGCCUGUAGCAAGGAUGGACUAGAUGGCUGGCUUGUCAAGUCUUGUAGCCAACUUCCAAAAGAUUGGAUGGGCCUCAGUCCAUAGUUCAAAUGACCCUUGUAGCUAUAAAUCCACAGUCCGGAGAAUCAGAGCAGGAAAUGAAGACCAAUUGCAGAUGUCUUGGGGUCUUUUAUAGCCUCUGCCAGGUGCUGGGAAUUUUACUGUCCCAAACACAGCCCACAGCCACAGUCUGUGGAAAAUAACCGGCCCAAGAUGGAGUCCAGGGUCACAUGAGCACGUCACAUGACAUCACACGCCUUGCUGACUCUCAGCAGCAGCCAUUACCCAUGUUCUGGCUGGGGCACCCACAGGAAGGCUCACCUGGUGGGACCAGCUCCCUCCAGGGUUAGGGGGGUGUCCUUUAAUGGGCCAUCGAACUCGAAUAGUCCAUUCACGUUGUGCUGCCUAGACUGGAUGUAAACUGCCUGGGGGUGUUACCCCAGGAACAAACACAAGGGCUGAGGCCUUGUCUACAAGCACAUUUGAUAGCGCUCUAAUUUGCUGGCUCAGGGGCAGGGGCGGCUCUAGUUUUUCUGCUGCCCCAAGCACGGCUGUCAGGUGGCUUUUGGUGGCAAGUCUGUGGGAGGUGCCUCAGUCCUGUACCUUCUGCGUACCGGCUGCUGAAUUGCUGUCAAAGCCACAGGACUACAGACCUCAGGUAUGCUGCCAAAGGCUGCCUGACAGCCAUGCUUGGGGCGCUGGUGUCUGGAGCCACCACUGCUCAGGGGUAUGAAAAAUCACUCCCCUGAGCGCAGCAAGUCUGAGCACUUUAAAGCGCUAGUGUAGACAGGCUCCCGGCGCUCACAGUGACUCCCCUCGCGGCAGAUUACCAGGAGCACUGGGAGAGCCGUCUCACACACAACCACACUCACACACUCGCACAUCAAAGCACUGCCGCAGGAGUGCUCAGGGGGCAGCGCUUUGAAGUCUCUUGUGUAGCCAUAGCCUGAGUCAACACUUAGCAGCUUAAAGCGCCUUAACGGGACAGUGUGGUCGCGCUCUCUGGUGGUCUGUCGGAGUGGGUCUGGUCUGAGAUGAACACACUGACACACAAUGCAGAGCACACACAGAAGGCUCAGGCCCAGUCCCCUAAACUUGUGUAAAAGGUCACAAACAGGCUUUCCCGAUCUCAGACUGUGAUGGAACAACCUCAUUCUGGGCCACUGAACAGGAGGCGUACACAUAUAAUCAAGAUAUCCACACUUAGCAAUUCACA
Molecule: non-coding RNA, 2412 nt
Organism: Chelonoidis abingdonii (Abingdon island giant tortoise)
Lineage: Eukaryota; Metazoa; Chordata; Testudines; Testudinidae
Source: RefSeq, a predicted model, not a curated record